AUUGAACGCUGGUGGCAUGCCUUACACAUGCAAGUCGAACGGCAGCACGGGAGCUUGCUCCUGGUGGCGAGUGGCGAACGGGUGAGUAAUACAUCGGAACGUACCCUGAAGUGGGGGAUAACGUAGCGAAAGUUACGCUAAUACCGCAUAUUCUGUGAGCAGGAAAGAGGGGGAUCGCAAGACCUCUUGCUUUAGGAGCGGCCGAUGUCGGAUUAGCUAGUUGGUGAGGUAAAGGCUCACCAAGGCGACGAUCCGUAGCGGGUCUGAGAGGAUGAUCCGCCACACUGGGACUGAGACACGGCCCAGACUCCUACGGGAGGCAGCAGUGGGGAAUUUUGGACAAUGGGCGCAAGCCUGAUCCAGCCAUGCCGCGUGAGUGAAGAAGGCCUCGG
Molecule: ribosomal RNA, 392 nt
Filed under: uncultured bacterium
Lineage: Bacteria
Description: bacterial SSU rRNA
Rfam family: Bacterial small subunit ribosomal RNA
Source: RNAcentral